GGGGCCCGCACAAGUGGUGGAGCAUGUGGUUUAAUUCGAUGAUACGCGAGGAACCUUACCUAGGCUAGAAUGCGCGUGACCGGCUCAGAGAUGAGCCUUUCCUUCGGGACACAAAGCAAGGUGCUGCAUGGCCGUCGUCAGCUCGUGCCGUGAGGUGUUGGGUUAAGUCCCGCAACGAGCGCAACCCCUAUGUUUAGUUGCCAGCAUGUAAUGAUGGGGACUCUAGACAGACUGCCUGCGCAAGCAGUGAGGAAGGCGGGGACGACGUCAGGUCAUCAUGGCCCUUACGCCUAGGGCGACACACGUGCUACAAUGGACGGUACAGCGGGUAGCUACACAGCGAUGUGAUGCCAAUCUCGAAAAGCCGUUCUCAGUUCGGAUCGGAGUCUGCAACUCGACUCCGUGAAGCUGGAAUCACUAGUAAUCGCGCAUCAGCCAUGGCGCGGUGAAUACGUUCCCGGGCCUUGUACACACCGCCCGUCAAGCCAUGAAAGUCUGGUAGACCUGAAGCUGGUGCUCCGCAACGAAGCCAGUUAGGGUAGAACAGGUAAUUAGGGCUAAGUCGUAACAAGGUAGCCGUACCGGAAGGUGCGGCUGGAUCACCUCCUU
Molecule: ribosomal RNA, 609 nt
Filed under: uncultured bacterium
Lineage: Bacteria
Description: bacterial SSU rRNA
Rfam family: Bacterial small subunit ribosomal RNA
Source: RNAcentral